This 4670-nucleotide long non-coding RNA is filed under the name Eutrema salsugineum. RNAcentral's name for it is "long non-coding RNA (ESAL_LNC001946)". Lineage: Eukaryota; Viridiplantae; Streptophyta; Magnoliopsida; Brassicales; Brassicaceae. The record is from RNAcentral.
CCCUUGAUGCAGAUCUCUCUUUUGGCUGAUGAAUGUCCUGAAUAAUGUCUUGAUAGAUUGUUAAGAGCGAGACUUAUAAACUGCUUUGGUUCUUAUCUGAUUCUUGAAUUACUUUGGGCUGAAGUUUUGCACGAUGUUGUCUUUCUUAUUCCUGUUUAGACAAACUGGAUCAAGUGAACAUAAGAGAGUCAGAGACUAUAAGAUUAUACAGGUCUCAAGAAUUCAAUCUAAGACCAGGUAGUCAUGAGAUCUUUCUUUCGAGUCCUAAUGGUACCACCCAGCACUGAUACAAAUCAAUUUUGAUGUGAAUAAACAAACUUGUAUCAUAAGAGGACUUGGCAAAUAUAACAAUCUGCUUCAUAAUUUUCUCAGAUAACAAUAAAACAAAAAUAUGCACAGGUAAACUCUCUCAACUAUUGUCUCUAAACUAUAUGUGACGUGACACUAAUGCUUACAGAGUUACAGAUCAAACUCCAAAUUUUGUCUCAUAUGCGUUCUUCUCUCCUCAGUUUGUCACGUCACCACGUUUUGAAAAUUUGAGUUUUGACAAUGUCUUCUCCAAUCCACAAACAAAUUAAUGCGAGUUGUCAUGUAUAAACGUAACUAGCUCAUAAAUGUGAUACUGGGAAAUUCCAAGAUAAGAUAAAAUUUUCACCUUGUAGACCCGUUGAUAAAAAUUGUAAAUUGUGUUUUAAUGUGUGAACAAAAGAACUAUAUGUUGAUUUCUCUGUGUUGCUGACUUAGUGUGAACGUACUUGUAACUUGAAUUUCAAUGAAAAUGUCAAAUGUUGGUCAUAGGUGAACAGUCAAUUUUUUGCCCACAGAGUCAAAGACUCAAAGAGAGACCCACGUGGAAUUAUUCAUGAACUGUAUGACUCGUAGACAUUCCACGUGGCAUGUAGACUCCACAUAUUGGUAAGCAUCUACACUAGCUCAGCCAUUAGAGUUUAACUAUCUUGCAACUAACAUAUAGAAAUAUCUAUUUUAGUAGCUUUUGGUUUAAUAAUUUCAUCAACUUUUUACCAAUAACAAACAUCAUGUCGCUGUCGCAACCGCGUCUGCGUUUGCGUUUUCUCUCUAUACUCUUACUAAACUGUAUCGUCUUCGCUUCAAACUUCUUGAUAAACAAUGCUCUUCCUUGUCGUCCCGACCAGAUCCAAGCUCUAAUGCAAUUCAAGAACGAAUUUGAAUCCAACGGUUGCAACCGCAGCGACUUUCUCAGCGGAGUCCGGUGCGAUAACGCCACUGGUGCAGUCACGAAGCUACAGCUCCCAAGUGGCUGCUUCACUGGAACUCUCAAACCAAACAGUAGCCUCUUUGGAUUUCAUCAUCUUCGUUACCUUAAUCUCUCUCACAACAACUUUACGUCUUCUUCUCUUCCUUCUGAAUUCAGCAAUCUCAACAGAUUAGAGGUUUUGUCUCUUGCCUCUAAUAGCUUCGUUGGUCAAGUUCCUUCAUCAUUUAGUAACCUGGUUAUGCUUACCCAUUUAAACCUUUCACACAACGAGCUCACUGGUAGUUUCCCACAAGUAAGAAAUCUCACCAAGCUCUCCUUUUUAGACCUUUCUUAUAAUCAGUUCUCAGGAACCAUACCUUCUGAUUUACUACUCACUAUGCCUUUCUUGUCUCAUCUUAAUUUGAAAGAGAAUCAUCUCACUGGUCCUAUUGAGGUUCCCAACUCUUCUUCUAGGCUAGUGUAUUUGUCCCUUGGGAAUAACCAAUUUGAAGGACAAAUCCUUGAGCCAAUCUCAAAGCUCAUCAACCUUGAAUACCUCGAGCUUUCUUCCCUAAACAUAAGUUACCCAAUCGACUUAAGCAUCUUCUCCUCUCUCAAAGCUUUGUUGAUCCUUGAAAUUUCUAAAAAUAGGUUAUUACCAGCCAGUUUAAGUUCAGAUUCAGGCAUCCCAUUGAGCUUAGAAGGCUUAAUUAUGUCUCAAUGUGACAUUAUUGAGUUCCCAAACAUCUUUAAGACCCUCCAAAACUUGCAACAUGUAGUCAUAUCCAACAAUAGAAUUAAAGGGAAAGUCCCUGAGUGGUUCUGGAAGCUACCUCGUCUUAGCAUAGUGGGUCUUGUCAACAAUUCUUUUACCGGUUUCGAAGGUUCUUCGGAGGUUUUGCUUAAUUCGUCGGUGCAGAUACUAGAUUUUGCCUAUAACUCUAUGACAGGAGCAUUUCCUCUUCCACCACCUAAUAUUAUCUACUUGUCUGCGUGGAACAAUAGUUUCACAGGGAACAUACCUCUCUCCAUUUGUAACCGAAGCUCUCUCGUUGUUUUUGAUCUAUCCUACAACAACUUCACCGGUCCAAUUCCUCGAUGCUUGAGUAACUUAAAGAUAGUGAAUCUCAGGAAGAACAGUUUGGAAGGAAGUAUACCUGACGAGUUCUAUAGCGGCGCUUCGACACAAACGCUUGAUGUUGGCUACAAUCGACUAACCGGGAAGCUUCCAAGAUCGCUUUUAAAUUGCUCCUUUCUCAAGUUUCUAAGUGUUGACAACAACAGAAUCGAAGACACGUUUCCUUUCUGGCUCAAGGCUGUACCCAAUUUGCAGGUCUUUACUCUCCGUUCAAACAGAUUCUUUGGCCAUCUCUCUCCUCCUGAUCAAGGCCCUCUGGCCUUUCCCGAGCUGCGAAUACUUGAAUUAUCGGAUAACAGCUUUACCGGAAGCUUGCCACCAAGUUACUUUGUUAACUGGCAAGCAUCAUCAGUCAAGAUAAAUGAAGAUGGGCGUAUAUAUAUGGGAGACUACAAGAAUGCUUAUUAUAUCUAUGAGGAUACUAUGGAUUUGCAAUACAAAGGUCUAUUUAUGGAGCAGGGGAAAGUGCUUACUUCCUACACUACCAUUGACUUCUCUGGAAACAAACUUGAAGGUGAAAUUCCUGAGUCCAUUGGUCUCUUGAAGGGAUUGAUUGCACUCAACUUAUCAAACAACGCCUUCUCAGGCCAAAUUCCUCUGUCUUUAGCAAAUGUCACGGAGCUGGAGUCACUAGAUCUGUCAAGAAACCAACUAUCAGGGAAUAUUCCAAGAGAACUCGGGAGCCUCUCGUUUUUGGCGUACAUAAGCGUGGCUCAUAACCAACUCAAAGGUAAAAUACCACAAGGACCACAGAUUACUGGGCAACCUAAAUCAUCAUUUGAAGGGAAUGUAGGUCUGUGUGGUCUUCCUCUACAAGGAAGUUGCUUUGCGCCACCAACGCAACAGCCUGAGGAAGAAGACGAAGAGGAAGAGGAACAAGUGUUAAACUGGAAAGCAGUGGUUAUAGGGUAUUUGCCAGGAUUAUUAUUUGGGUUCGUAAUAGCACACGUUAUUGCUUCAUACAGGCCGAAGUGGUUUGUUAAGUUAGUUGGUCCGGAUAAGCAAAAGAAAGCAGAUAAUUCAGUUAGUUUGUUUAUGUCUAUGGAUUCGAGAUGGGAGAGUUUUAAUAGUAAGAACAGUGUAGAAAGUGAGAUGUAAAUAUAGUAUGUUGAUAUUUUUAAACUGAUGUAAGAAAAGAGGUCUUACUAGUUACUAGUUUCUGUAACCUUUGUUCUCUUAAAUGGGACCUCUCUUUUGGCUGAUGAUGUCCAGCAAUAAAAACCUUUCUUUUGGCUCUUGUCUGAUUCAGCUUCCUGUUAAGACAGAGUUGGAUCAAGUGAAAAUAAGAGAAUCAGUGCUAUAAGCUUACACAGGUCUCUAGAAUUCAGUCUCAGACUAGACAUUCACGAGAUCCCUUUUUCUAAGUAUAAAACCUACUACACACCACUGAUAAAAAUCAGUUUAAUGUGAAUAAACAAAAUCAUAUCAUAUGAGGACUUACCAAAUAUAGCAACAUGCUUCACAAUUUGAACUAAUAAUAUUCUCAGAUAACAAUAGAAUAAAGUAUGGACAUGAAAACUCUCUCUCAAGGAGUAUUGUCUCUCGAUUAUGACUGAAACUAAUCCUUACAUAUCAAACUCCGGUCUCAUGGAUUUUCAUAAAUUAGCUAAAGGGAAAAUACUAAGAGAGAGAUAUAUAUUUCAGAUGAAAGAUUCUGAAAAUUCUUAUACAUUCACACAUUCCUUAGAUAUAGAUUCAGAUGAAAGAUAUAAUCUGACAAUUUCUUCUCCAAUCCACAAAUUAAAUCAAUGCCAGUUCUUCACUGUAACGAACUAACAUCUUCAAAAGUUGACCAAGUCUUCUCCAAUCCAGAAACAAAUUAAUGUAAAUGCCAGUUAUUUGUAAAUCUACACAUUCAAUGACAAGAAAUAAUAUCAACAAACUAAGAAAGACGAAUUAUUAUCUUGUAAUCAAAGCUUGACCAAAUCGGCGUUUGAAUCAAACAAAAGAAAACCAGCAAACCAGCAAACCAAAAUCAGAUAUAUAGCAAAUUUACUGAUGAAUUCGAUAACUCUUGCUUGGAAAAGGAAAUCACCUGAAGCUCCUUAGAUUAUUUCGGAAGCCGCCACUCAACCAAAACGUCGGCGAGAGUGACGGUGACUGUAAUCGCUUCGCCGUUGUCGCGUGAUUAAAUCUUCCUUAAGCGACUUAUGUCUUAAACCAAAUCUCGCAAAUCUGGUUCAUUAAAUUGUAUAUAACCGGUUUCGUAUAAACCGAAAUGUAAUUUUUGGUCUAAAUUGGUUUACAUAAUGCUGCUGGGUGAUUAUUUUUUGUUUCGCAUUUUUUUUUUUCCUACUGGUUCAGCCUUUUGAGUCG